ACUCCUACGGGAGGCAGCAGUGGGGAAUAUUGGACAAUGGGCGAAAGCCUGAUCCAGCAAUGCCGCGUGAGUGAUGAAGGCCUUAGGGUUGUAAAGCUCUUUUGCCAGGGACGAUAAUGACGGUACCUGGAGAAUAAGCUCCGGCAAACUUCGUGCCAGCAGCCGCGGUAAU
Molecule: ribosomal RNA, 172 nt
Filed under: uncultured Sphingomicrobium sp.
Lineage: Bacteria; Pseudomonadati; Pseudomonadota; Alphaproteobacteria; Sphingomonadales; Sphingomicrobiaceae
Description: partial 16S ribosomal RNA
Rfam family: Bacterial small subunit ribosomal RNA
Source: RNAcentral